This 482-nucleotide ribosomal RNA is filed under the name uncultured bacterium. Its description in RNAcentral is "partial 16S ribosomal RNA". It matches the Rfam family "Bacterial small subunit ribosomal RNA", at positions 28 to 507 of the family's 1533-position model. The record is from RNAcentral.
GACGAACGCUGGCGGCGUGCUUAACACAUGCAAGUCGAACGAUGAAGAAGAGACACGCGAACUUCGGUUCCAAUUUCACUUCGGAUUAGUGGCAGACGGGUGAGUAACGCGUGAGCAACCUACCUCUUACAAAGGGAUAGCCUCGGGAAACCGUGAUUAAUACCAUAUGACACAUUCAUAAGGCAUCUUAAGAAUGUUAAAGCUACGGCGGUAAGAGAUGGGCUCGCGUCCCAUUAGCUAGUUGGUGAGGUAACGGCCCACCAAGGCGACGAUGGGUAACCGGCCUGAGAGGGUGAACGGUCACAUUGGAACUGAGACACGGUCCAAACUCCUACGGGAGGCAGCAGUGGGGAAUAUUGCACAAUGGAGGGAACUCUGAUGCAGCGACGCCGCGUGAGCGAUGAAGGAAUUCGUUUCGUAAAGCUCUGUUCUAUGGGAAGAAAAGGACUGUACCAUAGGAGAAAGCCCCGGCUAAAUACGUG